Molecule: ribosomal RNA, 279 nt
Filed under: uncultured bacterium
Lineage: Bacteria
Description: partial 16S ribosomal RNA
Rfam family: Bacterial small subunit ribosomal RNA
Source: RNAcentral
UGCCAGCAGCCGCGGUAAUACGGAGGGUGCAAGCGUUAAUCGGAAUUACUGGGCUUAAAGAGUUCGUAGGUGGUUGAAAAAGUUGGUGGUGAAAUCCCAGAGCUUAACUCUGGAACUGCCAUCAAAACUUUUCAGCUAGAGUGUGAUAGAGGUAAGUGGAAUUUCUAGUGUAGAGGUGAAAUUCGUAGAUAUUAGAAAGAACACCAAAUGCGAAGGCAACUUACUGGGUCACUACUGACACUGAGGAGCGAAAGCAUGGGUAGCGAAGAGGAUUAGAUA